Long non-coding RNA from Oncorhynchus tshawytscha (Chinook salmon), 645 nucleotides. The record is from Ensembl. NCBI's taxonomy places the organism in Eukaryota, Metazoa, Chordata, Actinopteri, Salmoniformes, Salmonidae.
GGGGCAGCAGGCCUAGUGGUUAGAGUGGAGGGGCAGCAGGCCUAGUGGUUAGAGUUGAGGGGCGGCAGGGUGGCACAGCAGGUCUAGUGGUUAGAGUGGAGGGGCAGCAGGUCUAGUGGUUAGAGUGGAGGGGCAGCAGGUCUAGUGGUUAGAGUGGAUUGGCAGGUGGUCUAGUGGUUAGAGUGGAGGGGCAGCAGGGUGGCGCAGCAGGUCUAGUGGUUAGAGUGGAGGGGAGACUAGUAACCAGCAGGUCUAGUGGUUAGAGUGGAGGGGCGACUAGUAACCAGCAGGUCUAGUGGUUAGAGUGGAGGGGAAGCAGGUCUAGUGGUUAGAGUGGAGGGGCGACUAGUAACCAGCAGGUCUAGUGGUUAGAGUGGAGGGGUGACUAGUAACCAGCAGGUCUAGUGGUUAGAGUGGAGGGGCAGCAGGUCUAGUGGUUAGAGUGGAGAGGCAGGUAGCCUAGUGAUUAGAGUGGAGGGGCGGCAGGUCUAGUGGUUAGAGUGGAGGGCCAGCAGGUCUAGUGGUUAGAGUGGAGGGGCAGCAGGCCUAGUGGUUAGAGUGGAGGGGCAGGCAGGGUGGCACAGCAGGUCUAGUGGUUAGAGUGGAGGGGCAGCAGGUCUAGUGGUUAGAGUGGAGGGGCAGCAG